CUUUACUGUAACUUGAAAUUGAAAUUGGACUUUACUUGCGCAGUAUAGGUGGGAGGCGUUGAGUUUAUUCUUGCGGGAAUUUAGGAGCCAUCAGUGAGAUACCACUCUGGUAAUGUUAGAUUUCUAACUUUGUAUCAUAAUCUGGUCAAAGGACAGUUUCAGGCGGGCAGUUUGACUGGGGCGGUCGCCUCCUAAAUGGUAACGGAGGCGUACAAAGGUUUCCUCUGAACGUGCAGAAAUCGUAUCUAGAGUAUAAAGGCAUAAGGAAGCUUGACUGUGAGACUUACAAGUCGAGCAGGGACGAAAGUCGGUCUUAGUGAUCUGACGGUGCCGCAUGGAAGGGCCGUCGCUCAACGGAUAAAAGUUA
RNAcentral lists this ribosomal RNA (367 nucleotides) under uncultured organism. Its description in RNAcentral is "bacterial LSU rRNA". It matches the Rfam family "Bacterial large subunit ribosomal RNA", at positions 2099 to 2465 of the family's 2925-position model. The record is from RNAcentral.